This 443-nucleotide long non-coding RNA is filed under the name Rosa chinensis. RNAcentral describes it as "sRNA RchiOBHm_Chr6g0311121". The record is from RNAcentral. Lineage: Eukaryota; Viridiplantae; Streptophyta; Magnoliopsida; Rosales; Rosaceae.
CCGGGACCGAAAGCGAGUUCGCCUCCUGCACUCCAGAAGACCGCUCCACCGCCGGUUGCAGUCCAAUUCCAAUACUCUAUCCAAAACCCUAACAUAGCUCUCCAAUUCACCACCGCCAUCUCUCAACUCCUUUCUCGAAUAAUCCAGUAGCUCCGCCCACUCUUCGCUUUCUCCUUCUCUGUGCUCUCCAAAUCGAAACUCCUGUGCAGGUUCUCCGAAACCCUAUCGAUCAAGCUCUGAACUAGCAGCAAAAACUCGGCGCGCAACUGCAGAUUGGACGUGGACUAGCAGGUGGUCGGCGACGGCGGUGACUCGGAAGGAGUUCACGAACGAAGCCGAGACCUGCUGCCUGGCGCCGCAGCCAAUGUUGAGACUGCCCUGUGGUUCCUAGUCGGCCGCGCCACUUCGAACUUUGAUGCUGAACGUCGGAGUCCGGAACCGGA